UUGUGCCUUUUUUAUUGACUGAUUUCUAUGUUUUCUGAGCAUUUUAUGAAUUGGUCUUGUAUUUAGCUAUAGAGUAAUUAGGAAUAACCGUUAUAUGUAUUAAGUUACGUUUUGGAAUAACCGUAUACUGGUAUGACGAGACACUUUCUGUACAUGCCUAUCCAACACGGUGGAAGCAACCGGCUGCAGAAUUUGCAGCUUACUAGACAUAAGUCCUCAGCAAAUGCUUAAAACUUGCCUAGGUAUGAGUCCGUGAAACAUAAUUUCCAAUUGAAGCACAAUAAUGUUCAGCUACCUAAGUUAAGGUUGUGGGGUUUUCUCUGCAUGUUGGUUUCCUUCAUGGCUGUUAUCUUGCAGACCUUAGUGGAGAAGGGGUUCAAACUUGUCCUAGGUGGAACUGAAAAUCACUUAGUUUUGGUGAAGCGAAAAGCAACAUAACCUAAAAGCUUGCAACCUUAAAGGACUAGGGUGAGAGAUGGCAAAUAAGUUUAACUGAUGCUUUUUUCUAAAAUUAACAAAUUAGGCAAUGGAAGUUAUUGCACUGAACUCAGUUCUUCAGUCGGUGGGGUAUCAGUGUGAGGUUGUUAGAUGUAAUAUAUUGAUGUAUCUUAUGCUUUAGGUAGUAGUCUAUGCCAUGAUUCUUGAGGUUUGUCCUUUAAAAGGGUUGAAUAGGUUUGGGAGCUGCAGGUGUUGCAGGUAAGACCACUCACGACACCAUCAAAUUUCGUUUUUGGUAAGGUUCAGGAAAACUGAACAUGAUCAAGUUGGAUGGUUUUAUUGGAAGGUUUGCUGAGCCAUUUUUAUGGUUUUCUCUCGCCUCUCGCCCCGCUCCCCCACUUUUCCUUUGUCUUAUUUUUUGGUUUUUCCGCCUAUGUACAAGAGUCUGUGACUCCUUGUGACUGAAAAAUUCGCCGAUCAAGACUUCCCUUUCCUUCAACUCUCCAGCAGUUAAGUCCCUCCUCUGCCUUAGUUCCCGCAAAUGGACCUUACAAUAAGUGGAUCUUGGGCAGACUCACAAGGUUAGAUUCUCUCCCCCAUGUGUCUUUUUCUCUCCUUUGAAGGUCAAUUGAUUCUGAAGCGCUACCUUUCUUUGAUCUGGGUCAGAUAGCCUGUGCAUAGCUUCCUCAAUUUUUCUCUUCAAACAACCAAUCAUAUUGUCCUAAUUUUAUUUGAUAAAAUAGUUCUAAUAUUCUCUUUUCUUAUACAUCUCCUCUUCAUUUUUUAUAUAUUUGAUAAGGUAAUAAUAAUAUACAUCUCCGCUUCAAAUUAGAAGCUUUUUCAUUAACUUCCUUUAACUUAUAGGGGACAAACUUUUUUCGGUACAUAUCUCAUAUUCUAGCAGAAACAGGAUGGAUUAGCGUCUUUAUCAUGUUCCAAUGUGAAAAACACUUCAGCAAUUUGCUUCACUUGACAUUUAAGAAGGUUGACAGAACCAGAUGGAGAAGAUUGUAAUUGAGUCAUCUUGAACUUUAUGCAUUCUGAGGGCUGACAACUGUUUUGUGGUGCUGGUAAGUUAGUGCUACCUUGUCCAGGUUUUGGCAAAUGACCAACUGUGUUAAGUUAAUUGGUAAGUCGAAAAGAUUAUUCUUUCCAGUUUCUUCUUUCAUUUGGUUGCAGAUCUUAUUCUUCAAGUUUAGCGACUGGUUGAAUAUCCACCUCUUAAGUCAUUGCACUCCUUACAGCUUUGUGUUUACAUUGGCGAAAACUAUGAAUAAAAAUUGGAUUCGCAUGAGUAACUGGUUGGCCAUUGUCCUAUAUGCUUACUGCAGGUGAAAAUAUCUGUCUUGAUCCUGGAAAUUUAUAAUGGUAAUGUUUUGUGCUGCUUAUAUAACGGGGUGAACAUGUUAUGUUCUGAAUGAUUCAUAUCAUAGUGAUUGUUUUUUUAUGCAUGCUUUCUAUCACAGUGAAAUUUGCCUUAAUCCUGAGCGUAUGUGAUGCUAAUUUUUCUGCUACUUGUAUAAAAACACAGUGAAGAUGUUAGUUCUCUAUGAAUUAAUACUUUUGUAAUACGGAGUUGUUAUUUAUUCAGUGUUUUAUGCUUCUUUUAUUUAUCAUCAACUGUUUCAUAGUUUGGUUUCUGGCAGUGGAUCUCGUGGGUUCUAUUUAUGCCUGGAAAUGGGUGCGACAAACCUAUAAAUGUAAGAACCAUAAAACUUGGUUAGAAGAAAAUAAAGGCUGUUUUGGGAAGAGAAAAAAGGAUGUGGUUGCAUGGCUUUGCCUGCUGAGUAAUUGCAAUGUAAGUUUAUAUUCUUCAAACAAGACCGAAUGGAAUAUAUUUUUGUUUUACGAUAUAUCUAGUUUCUUAAGGUUUUCAUUCAAUUUUUACCAGUUCAGGUUGGAAUUCGAAAUUGAUUAUAUUUUGAAUUGUGAUAGGGGUAUAUUUUAUAGUGUAUGUGGUAGGCCAAUUGGUUUAAAGCUUGGAAUGUUUCUCGUGCACACUAUAUCACAUCACUGACUGACAUAUCAUAAAUGUUAAUGUCAAUUCUUUAGUGUAUUUUUGUACCCAAUCUGUUUCUUUGUUACUUUAUUCAUUUGUAGUGCAUAUACAGUUUCUGAAUCUGAGAAAAGAAAAAGGAUGCAAAUGAAAAUUCUGAACAGUAACAACUAACAAGUAGCAUGUCUAGCUUUUAAUGGAUAUUUGGAAAUACCAGUCUUCUUAUCUUAAUUUGGCAAAUAGCAUGGUGGAUCAUAUACUCUCUGUUUGAUCAAUUCUUGAGAUGUUCUUAUCGUUACAAUAACUUGUUGCCUACCUACCUGAAAACUCUAUCUUGGUGAAAUUAAUCAACAACAAAUACCAAAAGUAUUUUGAUAAAGAACUAUCUCAUAUAUAUACAUCUUCUCUUGGCUUGGAUGGAAAGACAAGCCACGCCCUUGCCAGUCCAUUUAAGCCAGUCCAACAAGCUU
Lycium ferocissimum is the source of this 2904-nucleotide long non-coding RNA. RefSeq lists it as uncharacterized. The record is from RefSeq and is a predicted model, not a curated record. The transcript is spliced from 2 exons. NCBI's taxonomy places the organism in Eukaryota, Viridiplantae, Streptophyta, Magnoliopsida, Solanales, Solanaceae.